GCCAGGCGCGGUGGCCUGUGCCUGUAGUCCCAGCUACUCGGGUGGUGGAGGUGGGAGGAUGGCUUGAGUCCAGGAGUUCUGGGCUGUAGUGCACUAUGCGAUCAGGUGUCUGUACUAAGUUCAGCAUCAAUAUGGUGACCUCCCGGGAGCGGGGGACCACCAGGUUGCCUAAGGAGGGGUGAACCGGCCCAGGUCAGAAACGGAGCAGGUCAAAACUCCUGUGCUUAUCAGUAGUGGGAUCACGCCUGUGAAUAGCCACUGCACUCCAGCCUGGGUGACAUAGGGAGAACCUGUCUCAA
RNAcentral lists this signal recognition particle RNA (299 nucleotides) under Callithrix jacchus (white-tufted-ear marmoset). RNAcentral describes it as "Metazoan signal recognition particle RNA (ENSCJAG00000076349.1)". It matches the Rfam family "Metazoan signal recognition particle RNA". From Rfam's summary of the family: The signal recognition particle (SRP) is a universally conserved ribonucleoprotein. The record is from Rfam by way of RNAcentral. Lineage: Eukaryota; Metazoa; Chordata; Mammalia; Primates; Cebidae.